RNAcentral lists this ribosomal RNA (499 nucleotides) under uncultured Lachnospiraceae bacterium. RNAcentral's name for it is "partial 16S ribosomal RNA". The record is from RNAcentral. Lineage: Bacteria; Bacillati; Bacillota; Clostridia; Lachnospirales; Lachnospiraceae.
CACGUAGUUAGCCGGGGCUUCUUACUCAGGUACCGUCAUUUUCUUCCCUGCUGAUAGAGCUUUACAUACCGAAAUACCUCUUCACUCACGCGGCGUUGCUGCAUCAGGGUUUCCCCCAUUGUGCAAUAUUCCCCACUGCUGCCUCCCGUAGGAGUUUGGGCCGUGUCUCAGUCCCAAUGUGGCCGGUCACCCUCUCAGGUCGGCUACUGAUCGUCGCCUUGGUAGGCCGUUACCCCACCAACUAGCUAAUCAGACGCGGGUCCAUCUCAUACCACCGGAGUUUUUCACACCGGAUCAUGCAAUCCUGUGCGCUUAUGCGGUAUUAGCAGUCAUUUCUAACUGUUAUCCCCCUGUAUGAGGCAGGUUACCCACGCGUUACUCACCCGUCCGCCACUCAGUCAAUUAAAAUUCCAUCCGAAAACUUCCUUCUAAUCGCUUCGUUCGACUUGCAUGUGUUAAGCACGCCGCCAGCGUUCAUCCUGAGCCAGGAUCAAACUCU